GCCCGAGUGGCGCAAAGGUAGCGCAGCCGAUUUGUAAUCGGCCGGUUAGCGGGUUCGAAUCCCCUCUCGGGCU
Molecule: transfer RNA, 73 nt
Filed under: Chloroflexota bacterium
Lineage: Bacteria; Bacillati; Chloroflexota
Description: Chloroflexi bacterium (groundwater metagenome) tRNA-Thr
Rfam family: tRNA
About the family: Transfer RNA (tRNA) molecules are approximately 80 nucleotides in length. Their secondary structure includes four short double-helical elements and three loops (D, anti-codon, and T loops).
Source: RNAcentral